UUUGGAGCGGUGAUGAGCAAUUUUUAUUUGGACUAGAGUUUCUGAUACUGCUACUCUGGGGUAGCUGAAGACCAAACCCUUGGCUGUCUGAGCUUCCAG
Molecule: non-coding RNA, 99 nt
Organism: Oryza brachyantha (malo sina)
Lineage: Eukaryota; Viridiplantae; Streptophyta; Magnoliopsida; Poales; Poaceae
Source: Rfam